UGAGUACGAGCUGCUACGGCAGCGAAGUGGGUGAUGUCAAGCUUCCAAGAAAAGCCCUAUACCCGUUAAGGCAUGACGGCCUGUACCCGAAACCGACACAGGUGGGGUGGUAGAGAAUACCGAGGGGCGCGAGAUAACUCUCUCUAAGGAACUCGGCAAAAUGGCCCCGUAACUUCGGGAGAAGGGGUGCCAUCGCAAGGUGGUCGCAGUGAAGAGGCCCAGGCGACUGUUUACCAAAAACACAGGUCUCCGCUAAGUCGCAAGACGAUGUAUGGGGGCUGACGCCUGCCCAGUGCCGGAAGGUUAAGGAAGCUGGUCAGCGCAAGCGAAGCUAGCGACUGAAGCCCCGGUGAACGGCGGCCGUAACUAUAACGGUCCUAAGGUAGCGAAAUUCCUUGUCGGGUAAGUUCCGACCCGCACGAAAGGCGUAACGAUCUGGGCGCUGUCUCGGAGAGAGGCUCGGCGAAAUAGAAUUGUCUGUGAAGAUGCGGACUACGUGCACCCGGACAGAAAGACCCUAUGAAGCUUUACUGUAGCUUGGUAUUGUGCCCGGGCUCUGAAUGCGCAGGAUAGGUGGGAGGCUUUGAUCCAUGGCUUGCGGGUCAUGGUGAGCCAACGGUGAGAUACCACUCUUUCAGAGCUAGGGUUCUAACAGCCACCCGUUAUCCGGGGGCUGGACAGUAUCAGGUGGGCAGUUUGACUGGGGCGGUCGCCUCCUAAAAGGUAACGGAGGCGCGCAAAGGUUUGCUCAGGCUGGUUGGAAAUCAGCCGACGAGUGCAAAAGCAGAAGCAAGCUUGACUGUGAGACCAACAAGUCGAACAGGGACGAAAGUCGGCUUUAGUGAUCCGACGGUUCUGAGUGGAAGGGCCGUCGCUCAACGGAUAAAAGUUACUCUAGGAUAACAGGCUGAUCUCCCCCAAGAGUUCACAUCGACGGGGAGGUUUGGCACCUCGAUGUCGGCUCAUCGCAACCUGGGGCUGAAGUCGGUCCCAAGGGUUGGGCUGUUCGCCCAUUAAAGCGGUACGCGAGCUGGGUUCAGAACGUCGUGAGACAGUUCGGUCCAUAUCCGGUGCAUGCGUAAGAACAUUGAGAGGAGUUCUCCCUAGUACGAGAGGACCGGGAGGAACGCACCUCUGGUGUACCAGUUAUCGUGCCAACGGUAAACGCUGGGUAGCCAUGUGCGGAGAGGAUAACCGCUGAAAGCAUCUAAGUGGGAAGCCCACCUCAAGAUGAGUGUUCUCAUGGCUUAAGCCAGUAAGGUCACGGGAAGAACACCCGUUGAUAGGCUCUACGUGGAAGCGCAGCAAUGUGUGAAGCGGAGGAGUACUAAUAGACCGAGGGCUUGAC
This 1348-nucleotide ribosomal RNA is filed under the name metagenome. RNAcentral describes it as "bacterial LSU rRNA". It matches the Rfam family "Bacterial large subunit ribosomal RNA", at positions 1564 to 2925 of the family's 2925-position model. The record is from RNAcentral.